Molecule: ribosomal RNA, 481 nt
Filed under: Porphyromonas gingivalis
Lineage: Bacteria; Pseudomonadati; Bacteroidota; Bacteroidia; Bacteroidales; Porphyromonadaceae
Description: bacterial SSU rRNA
Rfam family: Bacterial small subunit ribosomal RNA
Source: RNAcentral
GAUGAACGCUAGCGAUAGGCUUAACACAUGCAAGUCGAGGGGCAGCAUGAUCUUAGCUUGCUAAGGUUGAUGGCGACCGGCGCACGGGUGCGUAACGCGUAUGCAACUUGCCUUACAGAGGGGGAUAACCCGUUGAAAGACGGACUAAAACCGCAUACACUUGUAUUAUUGCAUGAUAUUACAAGGAAAUAUUUAUAGCUGUAAGAUAGGCAUGCGUCCCAUUAGCUGGUUGGUGAGGUAACGGCUCACCAAGGCAACGAUGGGUAGGGGAACUGAGAGGUUUAUCCCCCACACUGUACUGAGACACGGACCAGACUCCUACGGGAGGCAGCAGUGAGGAAUAUUGGUCAAUGGGCGAGAGCCUGAACCAGCCAAGUCGCGUGAAGGAAGACAGUCCUAAGGAUUGUAAACUUCUUUUAUACGGGAAUAACGGGCGAUACGAGUAUUGCAUUGAAUGUACCGUAAGAAUAAGCAUCGGCUA